Molecule: small RNA, 29 nt
Filed under: Bombyx mori (domestic silkworm)
Lineage: Eukaryota; Metazoa; Arthropoda; Insecta; Lepidoptera; Bombycidae
Description: ovarian small RNA-4615
Source: RNAcentral
AUGGAGGCUAUGCCGGACGCGGUUGCGGC